This 484-nucleotide ribosomal RNA is filed under the name uncultured bacterium. RNAcentral's name for it is "partial 16S ribosomal RNA". It matches the Rfam family "Bacterial small subunit ribosomal RNA", at positions 30 to 507 of the family's 1533-position model. The record is from RNAcentral.
AUUGAACGCUGGCGGCAGGCCUAACACAUGCAAGUCGAGCGGAUGAAGGGAGCUUGCUCCUGGAUUCAGCGGCGGACGGGUGAGUAAUGCCUAGGAAUCUGCCUGGUAGUGGGGGAUAACGUCCGGAAACGGGCGCUAAUACCGCAUACGUCCUGAGGGAGAAAGUGGGGGAUCUUCGGACCUCACGCUAUCAGAUGAGCCUAGGUCGGAUCAGCUAGUUGGUGGGGUAAAGGCCUACCAAGGCGACGAUCCGUAACUGGUCUGAGAGGAUGAUCAGUCACACUGGAACUGAGACACGGUCCAGACUCCUACGGGAGGCAGCAGUGGGGAAUAUUGGACAAUGGGCGAAAGCCUGAUCCAGCCAUGCCGCGUGUGUGAAGAAGGUCUUCGGAUUGUAAAGCACUUUAAGUUGGGAGGAAGGGCAGUAAGUUAAUACCUUGCUGUUUUGACGUUACCAACAGAAUAGGCACCGGCUAACUUCGUG